RNAcentral lists this transfer RNA (75 nucleotides) under Deltaproteobacteria bacterium. RNAcentral's name for it is "tRNA-Glu". It matches the Rfam family "tRNA". Rfam says of the family: Transfer RNA (tRNA) molecules are approximately 80 nucleotides in length. Their secondary structure includes four short double-helical elements and three loops (D, anti-codon, and T loops). Lineage: Bacteria; Pseudomonadati; Myxococcota; Myxococcia. RNAcentral also lists the same sequence under 1 other name. The record is from RNAcentral.
GACCCCAUCGUCUAGCUCGGCCCAGGACCCCGGCCCUUCAAGCCGGCGACGCGGGUUCAAAUCCCGCUGGGGUCG